GAUCCUGGCUCAGAGUGAACGCUGGUGGUAGGCCUAACACAUGCAAGUCGAACGGCAGCACAGAGGAGCUUGCUCCUUGGGUGGCGAGUGGCGGACGGGUGAGGAAUACAUCGGAAUCUACUCUGUCGUGGGGGGAUAACGUAGGGAAACUUACGCUAAUACCGCAUACGACCUACGGGUGAAAGCAGGGGAUCUUCGGACCUUGCGCGAUUGAAUGAGCCGAUGUCGGAUUAGCUAGUUGG
This 242-nucleotide ribosomal RNA is filed under the name uncultured bacterium. RNAcentral describes it as "partial 16S ribosomal RNA". It matches the Rfam family "Bacterial small subunit ribosomal RNA", at positions 15 to 252 of the family's 1533-position model. The record is from RNAcentral.